AGAGUUUGAUCCUGGCUCAGAACGAACGUUAGCGGCGCGCCUAACACAUGCAAGUCGUGCGAGAAAGGGCUUCGGCCCCGGUAAAGCGGCGCACGGGUGAGUAACACGUAGGUAAUUUGCCCCCAGGUGGUGGAUAACCUUCCGAAAGGAGGGCUAAUACAGCAUAAGACCACGGUCCCGAAAGGGAUUGAGGUCAAAGCCGGCCUCUUCAUGAAAGCUGGCGCCAGGGGAUGAGCCUGCGGCCCAUCAGCUAGUUGGUAGGGUAACGGCCUACCAAGGCGAAGACGGGUAGCUGGUCUGAGAGGAUGAUCAGCCACACUGGAACUGAGACACGGUCCAGACUCCUACGGGAGGCAGCAGUGGGGAAUCUUGCGCAAUGGGCGAAAGCCUGACGCAGCGACGCCGCGUGAGUGAUGAAGGCCCUCGGGUUGUAAAGCUCUGUGGAGGGGGACGAAUAAGGGUUGGCUAAUAUCCAGCUCGAUGACGGUACCCCUUUAGCAAGCACCGGCUAACUCUGUGCCAGCAGCCGCGGUAAGACAGAGGGUGCAAACGUUGUUCGGAAUUACUGGGCGUAAAGCGCGUGUAGGCGGCUCGGAAAGUCGGGUGUGAAAGCCCUGGGCUCAACCCAGGAAGUGCACUC
Molecule: ribosomal RNA, 640 nt
Filed under: uncultured bacterium
Lineage: Bacteria
Description: bacterial SSU rRNA
Rfam family: Bacterial small subunit ribosomal RNA
Source: RNAcentral